This 561-nucleotide ribosomal RNA is filed under the name Triticum aestivum (bread wheat). RNAcentral describes it as "partial small subunit ribosomal RNA". Lineage: Eukaryota; Viridiplantae; Streptophyta; Magnoliopsida; Poales; Poaceae. The record is from RNAcentral.
AUGCUAUGCGCCGCGCCGCGCCCGCCGACCAAUUCCGCGCCCCUACUUAACCCCGGCGAACCCGUCCCAAGAUCCUCAGACCACCGCGCCGAACAACUCUCUCGCCAGCACGCAGCAAACUCCCCAGCCUUCCCUCGCCCCGGAUCCGUAAAUGGCCCGCACGAAGCAGACCGCGCGCAAGUCGACCGGCGGCAAGGCCCCGCGGAAGCAGCUGGCGACCAAGGCGGCGCGCAAGUCGGCGCCGGCGACGGGAGCGUGAAGAAGCCCCACCGCUUCCGCCCCGGCACCGUCGCGCUCCGCGAGAUCCGCAAGUACCAAAAGAGCACGGAGCUGCUCAUCCGCAAGCUGCCCUUCCAGCGCCUCGUCCGGGAGAUCGCGCAUGACUUCAAGACCGACCUCCGCUUCCAGAGCUCCGCCGUCUCCGCCCUGCAGGAGGCCGCCGAGGCCUACCUCGUGGGGCUCUUCGAGGACACCAACCUCUGCGCCAUCCACGUCAAACGCGUCACCAUCAUGCCCAAGGACAUCCAGCUCGCCCGCCGCAUCCGCGGGGAGCGCGCGUAG